GUGGGGAAUCUUCCGCAAUGGACGAAAGUCUGACGGAGCAACGCCGCGUGAGUGAAGAAGGUUUUCGGAUCGUAAAGCUCUUUCGUCAGGGACGAACGUAUUUCUUGUAAAUAAUGAGAGAUAGUGACGGUACCUGAAUAAGAAGCCACGGCUAACUACGUGCCAGCAGCCGCGGUAAUACGUAGGUGGCAAGCGUUGUCCGGAAUUAUUGGGCGUAAAGCGCGCGCAGGCGGGAUAUCAAGUCUGUCUUAAAAGUGCGAGGCUCAACCUCGUGAGGGGACAGAAACUGGUAUUCUUGAGUGUCGGAGAGGAAAGUGGAAUUCCAAGUGUAGCGGUGAAAUGCGUAGAGAUUUGGAAGAACACCAGUGGCGAAGGCGACUUUCUGGACGAUGUCUGACGCUGAGGCGCGAAAGCUAGGGGAGCGAACGGGAUUAGAUACCCUGGUAGUCC
This 450-nucleotide ribosomal RNA is filed under the name uncultured bacterium. Its description in RNAcentral is "partial 16S ribosomal RNA". It matches the Rfam family "Bacterial small subunit ribosomal RNA", at positions 354 to 796 of the family's 1533-position model. The record is from RNAcentral.